AAUUCUAAGAAUUUUCAGCCUAUUGAGGGUUCUGAACAAUGGACACACUGGCUUACUGGGAAGAUGACACUUGAAUGCCACCUUCUAGAGGAGACCUUCCUGCCUAUGGCUCUCUUGGAUUUAGCUUUCUGGAAAUGCUGCCAGGGAAGAAAAGGACAGAAAUUGAAGAGUUCUCCAUCACACCUACAGUGAGCCAAUGGACCUUCAAGGAUAAAAUCCAGCUAUCUAUAAACCCUAAUGUUUCCUUCCUUUUCUCAAGUCUUAGAUGCAUGGACCAAAGGAGGAAGUAGCGUGACUUUGGAUUUACAUUUCUAGCAGCUGCUAUCUCCUGGAGCUGAUUUACAAGUUCUGUGAUUGACAACCUUUCUUCUGGGUUCACCUUCAAUGUAGAACCUUAAAACAGAAGCAUAUUUUAGAUAUGUCAGUCCUGAAAAAAGAACAAGUAGGAUGAAGCUAGCAAUUAUCAUCAACCCAACAAAGUAAGAGUACAAAUUUUGAAGAUGCGUAGAGCAUGACAACAAGUAGUUCACAUUUAAGAGAAAAAUCUGAAAAUAUAUUCAGGAUAUUCCCAUAUAGAACAGGAUACAUAUUCAUUUAACAGCAAUGUAGGUAAUAAAGUUGGAGAUGUUAACAAGAUAAUAAAA
Non-coding RNA from Monodelphis domestica (gray short-tailed opossum), 644 nucleotides. NCBI's taxonomy places the organism in Eukaryota, Metazoa, Chordata, Mammalia, Didelphimorphia, Didelphidae. The record is from RefSeq and is a predicted model, not a curated record.